This 632-nucleotide ribosomal RNA is filed under the name Microbacterium sp. So1Pw_1122. RNAcentral's name for it is "bacterial SSU rRNA". It matches the Rfam family "Bacterial small subunit ribosomal RNA", at positions 380 to 1021 of the family's 1533-position model. The record is from RNAcentral. Lineage: Bacteria; Bacillati; Actinomycetota; Actinomycetes; Micrococcales; Microbacteriaceae.
AGCCUGAUGCAGCAACGCCGCGUGAGGGACGACGGCCUUCGGGUUGUAAACCUCUUUUAGCAGGGAAGAAGCGAAAGUGACGGUACCUGCAGAAAAAGCACCGGCUAACUACGUGCCAGCAGCCGCGGUAAUACGUAGGGUGCAAGCGUUAUCCGGAAUUAUUGGGCGUAAAGAGCUCGUAGGCGGUUUGUCGCGUCUGCUGUGAAAACCCGAGGCUCAACCUCGGGCCUGCAGUGGGUACGGGCAGACUAGAGUGCGGUAGGGGAGAUUGGAAUUCCUGGUGUAGCGGUGGAAUGCGCAGAUAUCAGGAGGAACACCGAUGGCGAAGGCAGAUCUCUGGGCCGUAACUGACGCUGAGGAGCGAAAGGGUGGGGAGCAAACAGGCUUAGAUACCCUGGUAGUCCACCCCGUAAACGUUGGGAACUAGUUGUGGGGUCCAUUCCACGGAUUCCGUGACGCAGCUAACGCAUUAAGUUCCCCGCCUGGGGAGUACGGCCGCAAGGCUAAAACUCAAAGGAAUUGACGGGGACCCGCACAAGCGGCGGAGCAUGCGGAUUAAUUCGAUGCAACGCGAAGAACCUUACCAAGGCUUGACAUAUACGAGAACGCUGCAGAAAUGUAGAACUCUUUGG